UACAUGGGGUGCAAACGUUGCUCGGAAUUAUUGGGCGUAAAGCGCGCGUAGGCGGUUACUUAAGUCGGAUGUGAAAGCCCUCGGCUUAACUGAGGAAGUGCACCCGAAACUGAGUAGCUAGAGUACGAAAGAGGGUCGCGGAAUUCCCGGUGUAGAGGUGAAAUUCGUAGAUAUCGGGAGGAACACCGGUGGCGAAGGCGGCGACCUGGGUCGAGACUGACGCUGAUGCGCGAAAGCCAGGGGAGCGAACGGG
RNAcentral lists this ribosomal RNA (253 nucleotides) under uncultured bacterium. RNAcentral's name for it is "partial 16S ribosomal RNA". It matches the Rfam family "Bacterial small subunit ribosomal RNA", at positions 524 to 776 of the family's 1533-position model. The record is from RNAcentral.